GAUGAACGCUGGCGGCGUGCCUAAUACAUGCAAGUCGAGCGAACAGAUAAGGAGCUUGCUCCUUUGAAGUUAGCGGCGGACGGGUGAGUAACACGUGGGUAACCUACCUAUAAGACUGGGAUAACUUCGGGAAACCGGAGCUAAUACCGGAUAACAUUUAGAACCGCAUGGUUCUAAAGUGAAAGAUGGUUUUGCUAUCACUUAUAGAUGGACCCGCGCCGUAUUAGCUAGUUGGUAAGGUAACGGCUUACCAAGGCGACGAUACGUAGCCGACCUGAGAGGGUGAUCGGCCACACUGGAACUGAGACAUGGUCCAGACUCCUACGGGAGGCAGCAGUAGGGAAUCUUCCGCAAUGGGCGAAAGCCUGACGGAGCAACGCCGCGUGAGUGAUGAAGGGUUUCGGCUCGUAAAACUCUGUUAUUAGGGAAGAACAAAUGUGUAAGUAACUGUGCACAUCUUGACGGUACCUAAUCAGAAAGCCACGGCUAACUACGUG
Molecule: ribosomal RNA, 497 nt
Filed under: uncultured bacterium
Lineage: Bacteria
Description: partial 16S ribosomal RNA
Rfam family: Bacterial small subunit ribosomal RNA
Source: RNAcentral